RNAcentral lists this ribosomal RNA (300 nucleotides) under uncultured soil bacterium. RNAcentral describes it as "bacterial SSU rRNA". It matches the Rfam family "Bacterial small subunit ribosomal RNA", at positions 26 to 356 of the family's 1533-position model. The record is from RNAcentral.
AGAACGAACGCUGGCGGCAUGCCUAAUACAUGCAAGUCGAACGAAGGCUUCGGCCUUAGUGGCGCACGGGUGCGUAACGCGUGGGAAUCUGCCCCUUGGUUCGGAAUAACAGUUGGAAACGACUGCUAAUACCGGAUGAUGACGAAAGUCCAAAGAUUUAUCGCCAAGGGAUGAGCCCGCGUAGGAUUAGCUAGUUGGUGAGGUAAAGCUCACCAAGGCGACGAUCCUUAGCUGGUCUGAGAGGAUGAUCAGCCACACUGGGACUGAGACACGGCCCAGACUCCUACGGGAGCAGCAGUA